Molecule: ribosomal RNA, 246 nt
Filed under: uncultured bacterium
Lineage: Bacteria
Description: partial 16S ribosomal RNA
Rfam family: Bacterial small subunit ribosomal RNA
Source: RNAcentral
CUUAGUGGCGAACGGGUGAGUAACGCGUGAGUAACCUGCCCUGGAGUGGGGGGACAACAGUUGGAAACGACUGCUAAUACCGCAUAAGCCCACGGCCCGGCAUCGGGCUGAGGGAAAAGGAUUUAUUCGCUUCAGGAUGGACUCGCGUCCAAUUAGCUAGUUGGUGAGGUAACGGCCCACCAAGGCGACGAUUGGUAGCCGGACUGAGAGGUUGAACGGCCACAUUGGGACUGAGACACGGCCCAG